This 503-nucleotide ribosomal RNA is filed under the name uncultured bacterium. Its description in RNAcentral is "bacterial SSU rRNA". It matches the Rfam family "Bacterial small subunit ribosomal RNA", at positions 1 to 503 of the family's 1533-position model. The record is from RNAcentral.
CCCUUAGAGUUUGAUCCUGGCUCAGGAUGAACGCUGGCGGCGUGCUUAACACAUGCAAGUCGAACGAAGCACUUUAUUUGAUUUCCUUCGGGACUGAUUAUUUUGUGANUGAGUGGCGGACGGGUGAGUAACGCGUGGGUAACCUGCCUUGUACAGGGGGAUAACAGUUGGAAACGGCUGCUAAUACCGCAUAAGCGCACAGCAUCGCAUGAUGCAGUGUGAAAAACUCCGGUGGUAUAAGAUGGACCCGCGUUGGAUUAGCUAGUUGGUGAGGUAACGGCCCACCAAGGCGACGAUCCAUAGCCGACCUGAGAGGGUGACCGGCCACAUUGGGACUGAGACACGGCCCAAACUCCUACGGGAGGCAGCAGUGGGGAAUAUUGCACAAUGGGCGAAAGCCUGAUGCAGCGACGCCGCGUGAGCGAAGAAGUAUUUCGGUAUGUAAAGCUCUAUCAGCAGGGAAGAUAAUAGACGGUACCUGACUAAGAAGCACCGGCUUGAUA